AGAGUUUGAUCCUGGCUCAGAUUGAACGCUGGCGGCAGGCCUAACACAUGCAAGUCGAGCGGUAGAGAGAAGCUUGCUUCUCUUGAGAGCGGCGGACGGGUGAGUAAUGCCUAGGAAUCUGCCUGGUAGUGGGGGAUAACGUUCGGAAACGGACGCUAAUACCGCAUACGUCCUACGGGAGAAAGCAGGGGACCUUCGGGCCUUGCGCUAUCAGAUGAGCCUAGGUCGGAUUAGCUAGUUGGUGGGGUAAUGGCUCACCAAGGCGACGAUCCGUAACUGGUCUGAGAGGAUGAUCAGUCACACUGGAACUGAGACACGGUCCAGACUCCUACGGGAGGCAGCAGUGGGGAAUAUUGGACAAUGGGCGAAAGCCUGAUCCAGCCAUGCCGCGUGUGUGAAGAAGGUCUUCGGAUUGUAAAGCACUUUAAGUUGGGAGGAAGGGCAGUAAAUUAAUACUUUGCUGUUUUGACGUUACCGACAGAAUAAGCACCGGCUAACUCUGUGCCAGCAGCCGCGGUAAUACAGAGGGUGCAAGCGUUAAUCGGAAUUACUGGGCGUAAAGCGCGCGU
Molecule: ribosomal RNA, 569 nt
Filed under: uncultured bacterium
Lineage: Bacteria
Description: bacterial SSU rRNA
Rfam family: Bacterial small subunit ribosomal RNA
Source: RNAcentral